GAAAAAGUGGAAAUUUUAAAUUUAGCCUUAAUCGUGGAGAUAGCUUAGAGAAGUCAAUACAUUUUUUCUGUCAAGUCUGUAAAUUGAUGGUUUGAAGUACCAUUACAAAUGCCUUCGAGAUGUGCAUAAAGGGGCACACCCUGCAAAAAGUGUGAGCAACUUCAUUAUAUAGGAAUCCAUGUAGAAGUUUCGGAUAAAGAAGAUGAAAUCCAUUUAGAAGUUUCGGAG
Molecule: long non-coding RNA, 228 nt
Filed under: Theobroma cacao (cacao)
Lineage: Eukaryota; Viridiplantae; Streptophyta; Magnoliopsida; Malvales; Malvaceae
Description: long non-coding RNA (TCAC_LNC002168)
Source: RNAcentral